This 718-nucleotide ribosomal RNA is filed under the name uncultured bacterium. Its description in RNAcentral is "bacterial SSU rRNA". It matches the Rfam family "Bacterial small subunit ribosomal RNA", at positions 136 to 851 of the family's 1533-position model. The record is from RNAcentral.
CAGGGGGAUAACCCGGAGAAAUCCGGCCUAAUACCGCGUAACACCUUUUGGGAGCAUUCCCGGGAGGUUAAAGGAGAGAUCCGGCAUAGGAUGGACAUGCGUCGCAUUAGGUAGACGGCGGGGUAACGGCCCACCGUGCCGACGAUGCGUAGGGGUUCUGAGAGGAAGGCCCCCCACACUGGUACUGAGACACGGACCAGACUCCUACGGGAGGCAGCAGUGAGGAAUAUUGGUCAAUGGCCGAGAGGCUGAACCAGCCAAGUCGCGUGAGGGAAGAAUGUCCUAAGGAUUGUAAACCUCUUUUGUCGGGGAGCAAAAAGGCUCUGCGGAGUCGUAUUGAGAGUACCCGAAGAAAAAGCAUCGGCUAACUCCGUGCCAGCAGCCGCGGUAAUACGGAGGAUGCGAGCGUUAUCCGGAUUUAUUGGGUUUAAAGGGUGCGCAGGCGGCGUGUCAAGCAAGCGGUAAAAUAGCGGGGCUCAACCCCGUCGAGCCGUUUGAACUGGCGCGCUUGAGUUCAGGCGAGGUAGGCGGAAUUCGUGGUGUAGCGGUGAAAUGCAUAGAUAUCACGAAGAACUCCGAUUGCGAAGGCAGCUUACCAGUCUGCGACUGACGCUCAGGCACGAAAGUGUGGGUAUCGAACAGGAUUAGAUACCCUGGUAGUCCACACAGUAAACGAUGAGCACUAGGUGUCCGGGUCGCAUGAGACUGGGUGCCCGAG